UACGUAGGGGGCAAGCGUUGUCCGGAAUCAUUGGGCGUAAAGAGCGUGUAGGCGGCCCGAUAAGUCCGCUGUGAAAGUCCAGGGCUCAACCCUGGAAUGCCAGUGGAAACUGUCGGGCUGGAGUUCGGAAGAGGCGAGUGGAAUUCCUGGUGUAGCGGUGAAAUGCGCAGAUAUCAGGAGGAACACCAAUGGCGAAGGCAGCUCGCUGGGACGGUACUGACGCUGAGACGCGAAAGCGUGGGGAGCAAACAGG
This 253-nucleotide ribosomal RNA is filed under the name uncultured bacterium. RNAcentral describes it as "partial 16S ribosomal RNA". It matches the Rfam family "Bacterial small subunit ribosomal RNA", at positions 524 to 776 of the family's 1533-position model. The record is from RNAcentral.